This is an RNA transcript of Zea mays, 1460 nucleotides long. RefSeq lists it as uncharacterized. NCBI's taxonomy places the organism in Eukaryota, Viridiplantae, Streptophyta, Magnoliopsida, Poales, Poaceae. The record is from RefSeq and is marked validated. The transcript is spliced from 6 exons.
GGCGCUGCAACGCCACAGCAGUACAGGCUUCCUCCGCCAUCGGCAAUGGACGACAGCGACCUCGACUCCGCAGCGCUCUGGGCCGCCAUCGACUCCGCCGCUGCCAAGGCCUCCUCCCGCGUCCGCUGCGCCGCCAGCGACGACGACCACCGCGGCGAGGUGCUGCAGCCGGCCCGCCCGUUCAAAAACCCGCGGCUCGUCUCCGCCUCUCACGCCACACCGCCUCCCCCCGCACCGCUGCCUCUGCCCUCGCCAUCGCCCCGGCUUCAUGCGUCUCCCUACGCCACGCCCGACGCAGCGGCAGCCAGGAACAGGCUCCAGGUCGUUGAGAGCCCCCCGCCCCAUGAGCUCUGGGGGCUUCCCAUGGCGAGCCCCAUCGCCGCCGCCUAUGACGGGGGCUUGCUCCCCUCCCUCUCCGUGGCCAACUUCAAAAACUACCAGGACGUAGCUCUCUCGAUUUUGGAGAGAAGUGACUACACCACUAUCAGUGGGAACCCGUACAUAAAGAAGUCAGGGUGGAGAAAAAUAUCUUGCUUCUUCAAUGUCUCGUUUGAAAUCAAGGAUCACUCCAUUGAGUUUGAUGAAAACCGCAAUGUCAACCGUGCUGAAUUUCUUGUUCGAGCGUCAAUGACAGGUGGGAGAUUCUCAGACGGUUGGGGCUCCUGCGAUCGACGAGAGAAAAAAUUCAACAAACCUAACCAUGACAUUCCCAGCACAGCUGAAACCAGAGCUAAGAACAAGGCUUGCCAGGAUCUUCUUGGAAUUGGACGUCCAGGAUGAGAAGUGGAGGUCACUGGACCCCAAAGGUGGAGUCCAUGAGGUGUUUACCUUUAGAUCAGCUACUCAUCACCAGAUCCUGAAGUGGAGUCCACAAAUUUUGGUUAUAGUCAAGGUUGUCUGUGUGGCUGUUAGCUCAGUGCAAGAAUAUACUGAUAUGAAGUUAGUAGAAGGGCGCAAUGUUCUGCUCCUCUUUGUUAGUGAAAAGCCUAUCAGAUCGGGGGGAGGGGGGAUGUGUGCUCGGAUCACCUGUGGCACUGAACUUUUUUUGUUGUGGUGUGGACAUUGGCUGCCCCUCUAAAAUGGAAGUUUGUUUGCGCAUCGAGAUGCGUCAGCUGAUGAAAGAACCAAAUACAAGGAGCAGGAGCGAUCUUCCUUUUUCUCAGAUGGAAACUGCAAACGGGAAACAGUGUGGUGUAGGAAGAACUCGAACGAACUCAAGAACUCUAGCAAAUGUGAUAUGAGUGAAUUAUUAUCACAAAAUCAAGGCGUCUGGAAAUAUGUCCGGAGCAAUAGGCGAGCGAGCCAGCGGGACGCAAGGUACCAGCAAUACUCUCAGCAAUACGCUCGGUGAUCAUCUGUCAUCUGGGACAUGUAUGUAUAUGAGUUUUUUUUUUUAUUGAUCAAAGAAUUACUUUUUUUAAGAAAAUUAUCAAGUGAUUACUUUGUCGUCUGGACUGAUA